GAGCCUCAUAGUGUAACGUGCCGCUGAAUAACUGAUGGUGAUGCAGUACCAGCACGCGUCAGUCAGCAUCACCAAACAUCACACAGACACAGAUGGACUGUACGAUCAGCUCUCAUCUUACUGUACAUCCCGAUCACAUGCACCAGAGUUACAGUCUGAAAUUACAGAUGAAGUCUACAGAUGUGGACCCAGGGCUCUUCACAGACAUCUACUGCAAAGUAUGCAGCGCACAGCUUAUCUCUGAGUCACAGAGAGUCGCCCACUAUGAGAGUCGAAAGCAUGCAAACAAAGUUCGGCUUUAUUACAUGUUACACCCGACGGAUGGCGGCUGUCCUGCAAAGAAACUCCGGACAGAUAACGGCAGUACGGAUGGAGAUGUAGAUAAGAACAAAUGUUGCACGCUGUGCAAUAUGUCCUUCACUUCAGCUGUCGUGGCCCAGUCUCACUAUCAGGGCAAGAUCCACGCCAAGAGAUUGAGGCUACUGCUGGGGGAGCAACCUGCCAUCAUAUCCAAAGAGGUGACGUCUAAUUCAGAACAUAUGGUGACUGAAGAUUCCCCAGGAAGCCCCUUAAGGCAGGGCAGACUUUCACAUCGUUACUGCCAGAUGUGCAAGGCCUGGUUCAACAACCCCGGGAUGGCCAUGCAACACUACGACGGCAAAAAACACAGGAAAAACGCAGCCCAAGCAAACCUCCUCGCUCAGCUGGGCAAGAAUCUGAAAAACGGAGAGGAACUGAACGGUAUGUGCUAACCGACCGUGAGAGGGACAAACAAAACAAACCUGAAGCGGAGUCACACAUGUGAAGUUUGCCAUGUUACACUCAACUCUGUAGCACAAUACCACGCACAUCUGCAGGGCUCCAAACAUCAAAACAACUUGAAGAACAAAUGAAGAUUCAUGGUUUUCUUCAAAUACUACAGCACUACUCUUGAAACCAUUUGUGGGUCUUUCUGCCCCUCUGUGUCAAACGUAUGUUAUGACCUGAGAAGACAUGGAUGUAUGAUAUCAUGACUUAUGAUAACAGACACUAGUGAUAUGGACACUACCAAUACAGAUAACCGUGGAUGGAUUGUGAUAAGCCAUUUGGGUAAGUUUGUAUGUAAGAAUGCAAAUACUGAAAAUGUUUAAGUCUAUGUGACCCUGUCUGUGAAAUCCAGGCUAAAGUCUCAAUCUUAUUAUGAGAUUAGGAGCAUCAAAGCUUGAUUUCAAUCAUUGAUUCCACAUUGAUUUCAAUGUUUGACAUGACCUUACUCAAUCAAUAUUAAAGAUAUCAAUGUUAUAGUUUUACAAAAUGUUCUUGUAUGUAGGAUGAUUGUUUGCAGAAAACAGUAAAUCAUAAAAUAAUGACUUUAGUUGGGUCACAGUUAUUUAAGGCAUGCAGAAUGGACACAAUAUGACUUUCGUAUUUUUAAUGUGGUGUGUUGUACUGAUUAAAUAAUAAUUUAUUUUGCCUAUAAUGUUUCUAUUUUAAUUUAAAUGAAUGUGUCAAGUGAAGAUUUUUUAUAAGAAUGAAAAUGUUUUCAUCAGUUUAAAUUGAAGCGAAAGUAUUAUAAAGAUUCCUGGUGAUAUUUUGAACACAAGAAUCUGGAGGAAU
Molecule: RNA transcript, 1596 nt
Organism: Paramisgurnus dabryanus
Lineage: Eukaryota; Metazoa; Chordata; Actinopteri; Cypriniformes; Cobitidae
Gene: zmat4b
Gene name: zinc finger, matrin-type 4b
Source: RefSeq, a predicted model, not a curated record